CUCUUAUCAAGAGUGGCAGAGGGACUGGCCCUGUGACGCCCAGCAACCGUUCCAAAUGGAAUUGGUGCUAAAUCCUGCAAAACAUUUAUUUGUUUUGAAAGAUAAGAG
Molecule: non-coding RNA, 108 nt
Filed under: Mesobacillus selenatarsenatis
Lineage: Bacteria; Bacillati; Bacillota; Bacilli; Caryophanales; Bacillaceae
Also listed under: 1 other name
Description: Bacillus selenatarsenatis SAM-I sequence
Rfam family: SAM riboswitch aptamer (S box leader)
About the family: The SAM riboswitch is found upstream of a number of genes which code for proteins involved in methionine or cysteine biosynthesis in Gram-positive bacteria. The SAM riboswitch acts at the level of transcription termination control. The predicted structure consists of a complex stem-loop region followed by a single stem loop terminator region.
Source: RNAcentral